CAGCAGCCACGGUAAUACGGAGGGUGCAAGCGUUAUCCGGAUUUAUUGGGUUUAAAGGGUCCGUAGGCGGAUCUGUAAGUCAGUGGUGAAAUCUCACAGCUUAACUGUGAAACUGCCAUUGAUACUGCAGGUCUUGAGUAAAUUUGAAGUGGCUGGAAUAAGUAGUGUAGCGGUGAAAUGCAUAGAUAUUACUUAGAACACCAAUUGCGAAGGCAGGUCACUAAGAUUUAACUGACGCUGAUGGACGAAAGCGUGGGGAGCGAACAGGAUUAGAUACCCCCGCAGUCCCUGUCUCUUAUAC
RNAcentral lists this ribosomal RNA (301 nucleotides) under uncultured bacterium. Its description in RNAcentral is "partial 16S ribosomal RNA". It matches the Rfam family "Bacterial small subunit ribosomal RNA", at positions 509 to 807 of the family's 1533-position model. The record is from RNAcentral.